Molecule: ribosomal RNA, 421 nt
Filed under: uncultured bacterium
Lineage: Bacteria
Description: bacterial SSU rRNA
Rfam family: Bacterial small subunit ribosomal RNA
Source: RNAcentral
AUUGAACGCUGGCGGCAUGCUUUACACAUGCAAGUCGAACGGCAGCACGGGGGCAACCCUGGUGGCGAGUGGCGAACGGGUGAGUAAUAUAUCGGAACAUAUCCGGAAGUGGGGGAUAACGUAGCGAAAGUUACGCUAAUACCGCAUAUGCCCUGAGGGGGAAAGGGGGGGAUUCGUAAGAACCUCUCGCUUUCGGAGUGGCCGAUACCGGAUUAGCUAGUAGGUGAGGUAAAGGCUCACCUAGGCGACGAUCCGUAGCUGGUCUGAGAGGACGACCAGCCACACUGGAACUGAGACACGGUCCAGACUCCUACGGGAGGCAGCAGUGGGGAAUUUUGGACAAUGGGCGAAAGCCUGAUCCAGCCAUGCCGCGUGAGUGAAGAAGGCCUUCGGGUUGUAAAGCUCUUUCAGCCGGAAAGAA